Molecule: ribosomal RNA, 400 nt
Filed under: uncultured bacterium
Lineage: Bacteria
Description: bacterial SSU rRNA
Rfam family: Bacterial small subunit ribosomal RNA
Source: RNAcentral
GGGGAAUAUUGCGCAAUGGGGGAAACCCUGACGCAGCAACGCCGCGUGAGUGAUGAAGGCCUUAGGGUUGUAAAGCUCUGUUAUCUGGGACGAUAAUGACGGUACCAGAGGAGGAAGCCACGGCUAACUACGUGCCAGCAGCCGCGGUAAUACGUAGGUGGCGAGCGUUGUCCGGAUUUACUGGGCGUAAAGAGUGCGUAGGCGGAUGUUUAAGUGAGAUGUGAAAUACCCGAGCUCAACUUGGGUGCUGCAUUUCAAACUGGGCAUCUAGAGUGCAGGAGAGGAAAGCGGAAUUCCUAGUGUAGCGGUGAAAUGCGUAGAGAUUAGGAAGAACACCAGUGGCGAAGGCGGCUUUCUGGACUGUAACUGACGCUGAGGCACGAAAGCGUGGGGAGCAAAC